AUCUAUGGUUGUACCACCCUGAACAUGCCUGAUCUUGUCUGCUCUUGGAAGCUAAUCAGGAUCAGGCCUGGUUAAUAUUUGGAUGAUCAUUUAAGUAAUCAUUUAAGAUU
RNAcentral lists this ribosomal RNA (110 nucleotides) under Fukomys damarensis (Damara mole-rat). Lineage: Eukaryota; Metazoa; Chordata; Mammalia; Rodentia; Bathyergidae. The record is from RNAcentral.